This 74-nucleotide transfer RNA is filed under the name Verrucomicrobiota bacterium. RNAcentral's name for it is "Verrucomicrobia bacterium tRNA-Gly". It matches the Rfam family "tRNA". Rfam says of the family: Transfer RNA (tRNA) molecules are approximately 80 nucleotides in length. Their secondary structure includes four short double-helical elements and three loops (D, anti-codon, and T loops). RNAcentral also lists the same sequence under 1 other name. The record is from RNAcentral. Lineage: Bacteria; Pseudomonadati; Verrucomicrobiota.
GCGGGUGUAGUUCAGUGGUAGAACUCCAGCCUUCCAAGCUGGCUACGUCGGUCCGAUUCCGUCCACCCGCACCA